AGACCCGAAACCCGGUGAUCUAGCCAUGGGCAGGUUGAAGGUUGGGUAACACUAACUGGAGGACCGAACCGACUAAUGUUGAAAAAUUAGCGGAUGACCUGUGGCUGGGGGUGAAAGGCCAAUCAAACCGGGAGAUAGCUGGUUCUCCCCGAAAGCUAUUUAGGUAGCGCCUCGUGAAUUCAUCUCCGGGGGUAGAGCACUGUUUCGGCCAGGGGGCCAUCCCGGCUUACCAAUCCGAUGCAAACUGCGAAUACCGGAGAAUGUUAUCACGGGAGACACACGGCGGGUGCUAACGUCCGUCGUGAAGAGGGAAACAACCCAGACCGCCAGCUAAGGUCCCAAAGUCAUGGUUAAGUGGGAAACGAUGUGGGAAGGCCCAGACAGCCAGGAUGUUGGCUUAGAAGCAGCCAUCAUUUAAAGAAAGCGUAAUAGCUCACUGGUCGAGUCGGCCUGCGCGGAAGAUGUAACGGGGCUAAACCAUGCACCGAAGCUGCGGCAGCGA
This 502-nucleotide ribosomal RNA is filed under the name Salmonella enterica. Its description in RNAcentral is "partial 23S ribosomal RNA". It matches the Rfam family "Bacterial large subunit ribosomal RNA", at positions 711 to 1211 of the family's 2925-position model. The record is from RNAcentral. Lineage: Bacteria; Pseudomonadati; Pseudomonadota; Gammaproteobacteria; Enterobacterales; Enterobacteriaceae.